UUUCUGCAUUCUUUCUCAUAUGUUUUUCUUAAUUUUUGACUUGAGCAUCAGAGAGUUCCUGUCAGAGCCAACUCCAGUCAGGACUUACUUUACAAGUUUUUCUUUCAGGAGAAUGCGCCACUGCUCCAGCCUUUCUGAUCAAAUCUUAGAUUUUAGUGGCAACAAAUUGACACUAGAGGAAGGAUCUUGACUCGAUUGUGAGACAAAAUAAAUAAUCGAGACCAUGACCCUGCGUAGGA
This 239-nucleotide long non-coding RNA is filed under the name Elaeis guineensis (African oil palm). Its description in RNAcentral is "long non-coding RNA (EGUI_LNC041237)". The record is from RNAcentral. Lineage: Eukaryota; Viridiplantae; Streptophyta; Magnoliopsida; Arecales; Arecaceae.